Molecule: long non-coding RNA, 287 nt
Organism: Sceloporus undulatus (fence lizard)
Lineage: Eukaryota; Metazoa; Chordata; Lepidosauria; Squamata; Phrynosomatidae
Exons: 2
Source: RefSeq, a predicted model, not a curated record
CUGUUAAACAGCUGGGAGCCAGAAACCUUGGUAAAUCUGAAAAUCACUCAUCUGUUUUCUGUCCAUCCUCACUAGUAUUUUUUAAAUUAAACUUAUCUGAAGUAAACUUUUAUUGGCAAGCCUAUGUGUGAUUCCUCCUUUGUGUGUGUUUGUCUACAGGAAAUAAACGUUGAAUUUGAAGCACAUUCCAUAUCUGAUAAUGAUAAAAAUGGCAUAAAGAAAUUAUUGCAACAGCUGUUUCUAAAGGCUCCUGUUAAUACAGUAGAUCUGACUGAUAUAUUAAUACA